This 71-nucleotide transfer RNA is filed under the name Loxodonta africana (African savanna elephant). It matches the Rfam family "tRNA". From Rfam's summary of the family: Transfer RNA (tRNA) molecules are approximately 80 nucleotides in length. The record is from Rfam by way of RNAcentral. Lineage: Eukaryota; Metazoa; Chordata; Mammalia; Proboscidea; Elephantidae.
GCAGUGAUGGUUCAGUAGUUGACGGCUCGCCUUUCAUGUGGGAGACCUGGGUUCGAUUCCUGGCCAGUGCA